Molecule: long non-coding RNA, 238 nt
Filed under: Ananas comosus (pineapple)
Lineage: Eukaryota; Viridiplantae; Streptophyta; Magnoliopsida; Poales; Bromeliaceae
Description: long non-coding RNA (ACOM_LNC027001)
Source: RNAcentral
AACAGGCCCGCCGCAUGCACAAGGAUACACCUUAUGCAUAUGAAGCGUUAAUAAAACUUGUCCAACAAAAUUAACUAAAAUCUAACAACAGUAGGUAUUGGGGUAAAAUAAAAACUAUAUACUAUAGCAACACUGUAAAGAUAUACAAUAAUCACCACACCAGUCCUCAAAAUGAUAUAACAUCUCUGACUACCCCAAACCUCAAAAUAUUGUACAUUCUGCUAUAUAUACUGAUAUG